GAAUACUGACUUUCUUGCGCUCAUUCAUAGAUAUGAUUAGGGUUAGGGAUGUAGGGUUAGUAGGAUCCAGUGGGUUCUGGAGUUUUCUCCUACACAACAUCAAUUGAGGAUCACUCAGCGAGGUGAUGCUUCCAACACAAUAGUGAAAUUGAGUUUCAGCGGUACAAUGGAAAACAAUGAAAUUUAGAUGUAUUGCAACAGUUUAAAGUUGGACAUGGAGUGCUGGUUUAGCGGUGGGACUCUAGAUUCAACAAGAGAGAGGAUAAAAAGCAUCGAGUUAGCUUUUGCAAGACGAUCUUCCUGCUGUAACCAAUGAUGCCCCAUAUGAUAACAAUAUAAUGUUACAGAUAACAUAAUACAGUCAUAUAUGGGUAUGUGAAAGUGCCUUUCAUUGUUUCUUGAUAGUACUUUAGUAGCUAAUUUGGUUUCAAAAGCCGCAUGGCUCUUUGAGGCGUUUAGUCCCCGAAGCCAAGGUGAGGCUUUUAUUUUGUACAACUAAAAGUGAAUCCAUCUCAUUUAUUUUACAUAUUGAAAGUAUUAGGGGUUUAGAACUUCAA
This 557-nucleotide long non-coding RNA is filed under the name Helianthus annuus (common sunflower). Lineage: Eukaryota; Viridiplantae; Streptophyta; Magnoliopsida; Asterales; Asteraceae. The record is from RNAcentral.